This 1455-nucleotide long non-coding RNA is filed under the name Macaca fascicularis (crab-eating macaque). Its description in RNAcentral is "lncRNA (ENSMFAG00000065501.1)". Lineage: Eukaryota; Metazoa; Chordata; Mammalia; Primates; Cercopithecidae. The record is from RNAcentral.
UAAAAUACACAUAACAUCAAAUGUGCCCUUUUCCCCAUUUUUAAGUGCACAGUUCAGUGGUAUGAAGUAUGUUCACAGUGUUGUACAGCCACCACCACCACACAGUUCAGUGGUAUGAAGCGUGUUCACAGUGUUGUACAGACACCACCGCCACACAGUUCAGUGGUAUGAAGCGUGUUCACAGUGUUGUACAGCCACCACCGCCACACAGUUCAGUGGUAUGAAGCGUGUUCACAGUGUUGUACAGCCACCACCGCCACACAGUUCAGUGGUAUGAAGCGUGUUCACAGUGUUGUACAGCCACCACCGCCACACAGUUCAGUGGUAUGAAGCGUGUUCACAGUGUUGUACAGCCACCACCGCCACACAGUUCAGUGGUAUGAAGUGUGUUCACAGUGUUGUAUAGCCACCACCAUCCAUUUCUGGGAUCUUUUCAUCAUCCCCAACAGAAACCCCAGCCCACUGAACACUAACUCCUUGUUCCUUCCUUCCCUGUCCCUGGUCACCACCAUUCUACCACCUGUGUGUAUGAAUUUGCCUCUUCCAGAAACCUCACAUCAGUGGAGUCACACGACAUCUGUCCUUAGGUGUCUCAGCCCCUUAUUCUUACCUAGCAUUGUUUUUAGACAUCUGAAAAGCAGCCCACCAGGGAUAGGAGAGCUGCGCCUUCUAGAACACCCCAUCCCACUUCCAUGUAGAGUUGGGCUACAUGACCUUGGCUUUGGGGUACAGGUGUCCCUCUUCCACAUCAAGUCCCCAAACAAAACAAAACAAAGCACUCUUUCUGACUCAGCUCCUGAAGAGGCUGUGAGGACCCGCCCCCCUCCAUUUACCUGCUCUGCCUUUGCAGUUCAGCUUGUUCUCACGAUGCCCCGUCAGCCUCCGGUUGAAGGGGUGGCCUGCCCCUCCACACCUGUGGGCGUUUCUCAUUAGGUGGAACGAGAGACUUGAGAAAAGAAAUGAGACACAGAGACAAAGUAUAGAGAAAGAAAAAGUGGGCCCUGGGACCGGCGCUCAGCAUACAGAGUACCCACGCAGCGCCGGCACCGGUCUCUGAGUUUCCUCAGUAUUUAUUGAUCAUUAUCUUUACCAUCCUAGAAAAAAGGAAGUGGCAGGAUAAUAGGAUCAUUGUAGGGAGAAGGUCAGCAGUAAGACAUAUGAAUACAGUUCUCUGUGACAUAAGUUUAAGGAAAAGUGCUGUGCCUUGAUAUGCAUAGGCAAACAUCUCCAUAAACCUUUUUAGUGCAUAAAGAACAGCAUUGCACUAGCACGUCCCACCUUCAGCCCUAAGGCGGUUUUCUCCUUUCUCAGUAAACAAAAAAUACAAUCAGGUUUUACACCGAGAUGUUCCAUUGCCCAGGGAUGGGCAGGAGACAGAUGCUUUUCUCUAUCUGAACCGCCAAGAGGCCUUCUUUCCUCUUAUACUAGUCCUCAGCAGAGACCCUUCAGGGUGUC